UACGUAGGGCGUAAGCGUUAUCCGGAAUUAUUGGGCGUAAAGAGCUCGUAGGCGGUUUGUCGCGUCUGCUGUGAAAACUGGGGGCUCAACCCCCAGCCUGCAGUGGGUACGGGCAGACUAGAGUGCGGUAGGGGAGAUUGGAAUUCCUGGUGUAGCGGUGGAAUGCGCAGAUAUCAGGAGGAACACCGAUGGCGGAAGGCAGAUCUCUGGGCCGUAACUGGACGCUGAGGAGCGAAAGCAUGGGGAGCGAACAGG
Molecule: ribosomal RNA, 255 nt
Filed under: uncultured bacterium
Lineage: Bacteria
Description: partial 16S ribosomal RNA
Rfam family: Bacterial small subunit ribosomal RNA
Source: RNAcentral